Molecule: long non-coding RNA, 410 nt
Organism: Mus caroli (Ryukyu mouse)
Lineage: Eukaryota; Metazoa; Chordata; Mammalia; Rodentia; Muridae
Source: RefSeq, a predicted model, not a curated record
AGGUUUAAUCAUUAGCAUCACAGAGGUAGGGCAACAGGAAGAGCAGGAAGAAGCUAACCAUGAGCCUGCUGUGAUUCAGCCACGGAAGAGGGAGAAAGCAGGGAAACAGAACUAUGGAGGGAGGACAAGAGAUCAAAGAUCUGGGAAGUAAGGAGGAAGAGAAAGCCCCCGCUGGUCCCGCAAAUCGAUUCUCUGCAAGGCCCGCCUCCCCGUCUGUGCUCCGAACUCCUAAGCAGAAUGUAGCCUCCGUGGGAUGCCAGGCCUGAACAGAAGGGCCCAGGAGCACUGGGCAGACACACAUGCCAGGCUGCCAGAACCUCUGGGCCUGAUUUGUCCUACAGGGAGGUCCUACAUCCUCCAGACACCCCCUGACCUCUCUCCAAAAUACACACGCUCUGUUUGCUUCAGGG